This 135-nucleotide ribosomal RNA is filed under the name uncultured bacterium. RNAcentral describes it as "partial 16S ribosomal RNA". It matches the Rfam family "Bacterial small subunit ribosomal RNA", at positions 355 to 507 of the family's 1533-position model. The record is from RNAcentral.
GGGGGAAUCUUAGACAAUGGGCGCAAGCCUGAUCUAGCCAUGCCGCGUGAUCGAUGAAGGCCUUAGGGUUGUAAAGAUCUUUCAGAUGGGAAGAUAAUGACGGUACCAUCAGAAGAAGCCCCGGCUAACUCCGUG